Dalotia coriaria is the source of this 754-nucleotide long non-coding RNA. RefSeq lists it as uncharacterized. NCBI's taxonomy places the organism in Eukaryota, Metazoa, Arthropoda, Insecta, Coleoptera, Staphylinidae. The record is from RefSeq and is a predicted model, not a curated record. The transcript has 2 exons.
UGGAAAUACCAAAUUCGAAAAUAGAACAAAAACCCAACGACUUAGUAAUUCAAUGAUAAGUUUUCCCAAAAAACACUUCACAAAGAAGCUUAUCUCCCUUCUUAUUAUGCUAAGUAAUUCAGAUUACAUAUUGAGGUAUAAAUUGGUAAAGUUGUACACAAAUACUUUAGUUAUUCAGACGAUUUGAACAAAAUAACAGUAAACUUAAAAUGGACAAAAUUUUAUUCCUCACAGCCUUGUGCAUUACUUGUACUUUAGCUGGUCCUCCUCGCAAUUUAAAACCCGUUGACAUUGAUAUUAACAAAUGCCAUGAAACUUGGGCAUUGUCUAUCGAAAAAUUGAAAAUUGCGAAUAAUAAGAUUGUCACAGAAUGUGCAACAAAUGAGUGUUCAAAAGAAAUUCAAUUAAUUGAAAGUGAUACCCUUGGUAUGUUGGCUAUGUACGAUUAUGGGUUAACACAAGUGAUGCAAUGUUUCCCUGCUUGUAAUGGAGAUAAAACAUGUGAAGAGGAAUGUGUUGAAUCGAUGGAUAACAUGCUGCAAGGAAGUAUACUAGCUAUCAAUUCAAUUAUCUACUCCGGUCUAGGGGGCAUGCUGGAUGUCUGCCCAAAUGUGAGCGAAUGCGCACGCGCUGCUUAUGAUGUAUUUGUUAAUGAUCAGUUAAUUACUGCUCGAAGGGAGUUUAUCGCUUGUGCAUCUGCAUAAUUAAAUUGUUUAUAAAAAGUUAAUAAAUAUUGUUUUAAGUAUCAAAAUAA